CGGACUCGUAGGGCAUGCGGAGCACCUGGAGAUUUCCGUUCUCCCAAUACCCAUAGGUGGCAUUCCUGUCGGUCCGC
This 77-nucleotide transfer RNA is filed under the name Euryarchaeota archaeon ADurb.BinA087. Its description in RNAcentral is "tRNA-Gly". Lineage: Archaea; Methanobacteriati; Methanobacteriota. The record is from RNAcentral.